UUGGAGAUUUUCGAUCAAUGUUUUAAAAUCAGGUUUUUGUUUUUCGAUCGCCGAUUCGAUUCUUUGUGUAAGGACUGAGAUUUUUGACAGUGCUACUAAACUCUCUGUUGAUGAUGUUUAUGUGUGUAAUUUAAUUACAUAAGCACUCGUCAAGUUUCGGGCGAAAAUGAGCUAAAAUGGAGAAGAUACGCGACUUUCAGUUUUCACUUAAGUGAAUAGUAACUCCGGUUUUCCGGGGAAGCCACAGAGUAGAGUUGGCUUCUGGUGCGUAUCGGACUCCGUUCAUAUCAGUCCAAUAGCUCGUUUCGACCGGUUCAGCUGUUCUGGAACUAGUGGCGCUGAUGGAUUUUGAGUUUGACGCACGGAUUUCGAGAAAAUCCAAAAAUACAUGCUUUAUAUGUAUUUGUGUGUGUGUUUCCUUCUAUUGGAAGAAGGUUGGAUUUUGUUGUGAAUCCGUGGUCGAUCGAAAUGAAUCGAAAGUGUAGCUUUGUUGUCUCCGAGGUGCUGAUCGCACUGGUGCAAUCCGUUCGCAAAUCUGACGGACGGAUCUGCGGAGAUCGCGCGUUGAUCGAGGAGAGGUCGGUGAUGGCAAAACGGUAAUUUCGCAAAAGUUGCGACAUUUUAUGUACCGUUUCGCGUGAAAUCGCACGUGGAGGGGUUUAUGCAUGUUUUAUUCGUGCGGUGAGGGACUAAGAUUAAAUGGUU
Molecule: long non-coding RNA, 705 nt
Filed under: Ananas comosus (pineapple)
Lineage: Eukaryota; Viridiplantae; Streptophyta; Magnoliopsida; Poales; Bromeliaceae
Description: long non-coding RNA (ACOM_LNC008723)
Source: RNAcentral